UUUGUUUUUUACAUUAUACACAAAUAUAAGAAAAAUAUGACUAAAAUUAUUAAGUAUAUUUAUUUUAUGAUCCUAUUUCUUUCCUCAUUUCUUGUUGCCUUUGAUUUUCCUCCAUUUCAUUUUCCAUGUUCCUCUGACUCUAUUUGCCAUUGGAUUACUUGUCCUCCCCAUAGAGAAGCUAAGGUGUGUGAGUUUGGAACGUGUUGCUGUGCUGACAGGAAUUUUCUGCAUGAUAACAAAAAUUUAGAGAAAUGAUACACGUACACUUAUUUUUGCAUAUUUAUGUUUUACUUGGUUGGUUAAUCAAGUAUAGAAAUAUAGCUAAUUCUAUUGAAUAGAUUAUUAAUUUAAUUUAUAUUUAAAAUUAUAAUUUAUCAAUUAUACAAAAUAGUUAUAUUUUAAAGUUGAAUUGAAUUAAUCAUCUAUUAAAUUAAUAAAUUUUUUAUACAUAAUUAUAAUUAAUCAAUACUUGGCCAGUAAAAAAAAGAGUC
Molecule: long non-coding RNA, 491 nt
Organism: Vicia villosa (hairy vetch)
Lineage: Eukaryota; Viridiplantae; Streptophyta; Magnoliopsida; Fabales; Fabaceae
Exons: 3
Source: RefSeq, a predicted model, not a curated record